Molecule: long non-coding RNA, 640 nt
Filed under: Homo sapiens (human)
Lineage: Eukaryota; Metazoa; Chordata; Mammalia; Primates; Hominidae
Description: HSALNT0367869
Source: RNAcentral
UAAUGACCGAAGCUUCAAGACUUUGACAUGUGUGAAAACAUGAAAUGACCCUUGGCUCUUAUUGUUCUUGCUGGUGUGGUAUGUUCACGGCUGAAAAGAUGGUCAGAAGGGGAAAGGAGGAAGUGAGAAGAAAGAAACAGGGAAAUGACAGAGUGUUGCUCAGUUACCCAGGCUGGAGUGCAAUGGCAUGAUCUUGGCUCACUGCAGCCUCCACCUCCUGGGUUCAAGCGGUUCUCGUGCCUCAGUCUCCCAAGUAGCUGGGAUUACAGACCCUGCAUGUGAUGGAUCAGCUGACACCAUCCAGAUCGGUAAACUGGUUCAUCUGAUCUUGUGCCCUCCACCCAGGAACUGACUCAGCGCAAGAAGACAGCUUCGACUCCUUGUGAUUUCAUCCCUAACCAAUCAGCACUCCUGGCUCACUGGCUUCCCCCAACCCACCAAAUUGUCCUUAAAAACUCUGCUCUCCAAACGCUGGGGGAGACUGAUUUGAGUAAUAAUAAAACCCUGGUCUCCUGCACAGUUGGCUCUGCGUGAAUUACUCUUUCUCUAUUCCAAUUCCCUUAUUUUGGUGAAUUGGCUCUGUCUACGCAGUGGGCAAGGUGAACCCCUUAGGCGGUUACAUGGUUAUUGCCCCUUUUUU